CCUACGGGAGGCAGCAGUGGGGAAUAUUGGACAAUGGGCGGAAGCCUGAUCCAGCAACGCCGCGUGAGGGAUGACGGCCUUCGGGUUGUAAACCUCUUUCAGCGGGGCGAAGUUUUGUCUUUUUGGGCGAAGUGACGGUACCCGCAGAAGAAGCACCGGCCAACUACGUGCCAGCAGCCGCGGUAAUACGUAGGGUGCGAGCGUUGUCCGGAAUUAUUGGGCGUAAAGGGCUCGUAGGCGGUUUGUCACGUCGGGAGUGAAAACUCGGGGCUUAACUCCGAGCCUGCUUCCGAUACGGGCUGACUAGAGGUAUGCAGGGGAGAACGGAAUUCCUGGUGUAGCGGUGAAAUGCGCAGAUAUCAGGAGGAACACCGGUGGCGAAGGCGGUUCUCUGGGCAUUACCUGACGCUGAGGAGCGAAAGUGUGGGGAGCGAACAGGAUUAGAUACCCUGGUAGUCCACACCGUAAACGUUGGCGCUAGGUGUGGGGCUCGAUUCCACGAGUUCCGUGCCGCAGCUACGCAUAGCGCCCGCCGUCGGGACGGUACGGCCGCGACGGACGUAAACGUACAAUAGAAUAGACGGCGUGAGACGNGCCGACGGACGACGACGAGGAGUAGG
Molecule: ribosomal RNA, 620 nt
Filed under: uncultured bacterium
Lineage: Bacteria
Description: bacterial SSU rRNA
Rfam family: Bacterial small subunit ribosomal RNA (bases 1-534)
Source: RNAcentral